This 69-nucleotide transfer RNA is filed under the name Caudoviricetes sp. Its description in RNAcentral is "tRNA-Ser". The record is from RNAcentral. Lineage: Duplodnaviria; Heunggongvirae; Uroviricota; Caudoviricetes.
GGAAAUCGGUAAUUAAACCAUCGGUUCACAUCCGAGAGGUCGCGGGUUCGAGCCCCUCCGUCUCCACCA